ACAGAUUCGUUCAGAGUUUUGAUCCUGGCUCAGGAUGAACGCUGGCGGCGUGCCUAACACAUGCAAGUCGAACGAAGCGCUUGAAGUUUUCGGAUGGAAAGUGACUGAGUGGCGGACGGGUGAGUAACGCGUGGAUAACCUGCCUCAUACAGGGGGAUAACAGUUAGAAAUGACUGCUAAUACCGCAUAAGCGCACAGUACCGCAUGGUACAGUGUGAAAAACUCCGAUGGUAUGAGAUGGAUCCGCGUCUGAUUAGCUAGUUGGCGGGGUAACGGCCCACCAAGGCGACGAUCAGUAGCCGACCUGAGAGGGUGACCGGCCACAUUGGGACUGAGACACGGCCCAA
RNAcentral lists this ribosomal RNA (347 nucleotides) under uncultured bacterium. Its description in RNAcentral is "bacterial SSU rRNA". It matches the Rfam family "Bacterial small subunit ribosomal RNA", at positions 1 to 334 of the family's 1533-position model. The record is from RNAcentral.